RNAcentral lists this ribosomal RNA (1457 nucleotides) under uncultured organism. Its description in RNAcentral is "SSU rRNA". It matches the Rfam family "Bacterial small subunit ribosomal RNA". The record is from RNAcentral.
AACGCUGGCGGCAGGCCUAACACAUGCAAGUCAAACGGUAACAGAAAGCAGCUUGCUGCCUUGCUGACGAGUGGCGGACGGGUGAGUAAUGUCUGGGAAACUGCCCGAUGGAGGGGGAUAACUACUGGAAACGGUAGCUAAUACCGCAUAACGUCGCAAGACCAAAGAGGGGGACCUUCGGGCCUCUUGCCAUCGGAUGUGCCCAGAUGGGAUUAGCUAGUAGGUGGGGUAAAGGCUCACCUAGGCGACGAUCCCUAGCUGGUCUGAGAGGAUGGCCAGCCACACUGGAACUGAGACACGGUCCAGACUCCUACGGGAGGCAGCAGUGGGGAAUAUUGCACAAUGGGCGCAAGCCUGAUGCAGCCAUGCCGCGUGUAUGAAGAAGGCCUUCGGGUUGUAAAGUACUUUCAGCGGGGAGGAAGGGAGUAAAGUUAAUACCUUUGCUCAUUGACGUUACCCGCAGAAGAAGCACCGGCUAACUCCGUGCCAGCAGCCGCGGUAAUACGGAGGGUGCAAGCGUUAAUCGGAAUUACUGGGCGUAAAGCGCACGCAGGCGGUUUGUUAAGUCAGAUGUGAAAUCCCCGGGCUCAACCUGGGAACUGCAUCUGAUACUGGCAAGCUUGAGUCUCGUAGAGGGGGGUAGAAUUCCAGGUGUAGCGGUGAAAUGCGUAGAGAUCUGGAGGAAUACCGGUGGCGAAGGCGGCCCCCUGGACGAAGACUGACGCUCAGGUGCGAAAGCGUGGGGAGCAAACAGGAUUAGAUACCCUGAUAGUCCACGCCGUAAACGAUGUCGACUUGGAGGUUGUGCCCUUGAGGCGUGGCUUCCGGAGCUAACGCGUUAAGUCGACCGCCUGGGGAGUACGGCCGCAAGGUUAAAACUCAAAUGAAUUGACGGGGGCCCGCACAAGCGGUGGAGCAUGUGGUUUAAUUCGAUGCAACGCGAAGAACCUUACCUGGUCUUGACAUCCACGGAAGUUUUCAGAGAUGAGAAUGUGCCUUCGGGAACCGUGAGACAGGUGCUGCAUGGCUGUCGUCAGCUCGUGUUGUGAAAUGUUGGGUUAAGUCCCGCAACGAGCGCAACCCUUAUCCUUUGUUGCCAGCGGUCCGGCCGGGAACUCAAAGGAGACUGCCAGUGAUAAACUGGAGGAAGGUGGGGAUGACGUCAAGUCAUCAUGGCCCUUACGACCAGGGCUACACACGUGCUACAAUGGCGCAUACAAAGAGAAGCGACCUCGCGAGAGCAAGCGGACCUCAUAAAGUGCGUCGUAGUCCGGAUUGGAGUCUGCAACUCGACUCCAUGAAGUCGGAAUCGCUAGUAAUCGUGGAUCAGAAUGCCACGGUGAAUACGUUCCCGGGCCUUGUACACACCGCCCGUCACACCAUGGGAGUGGGUUGCAAAAGAAGUAGGUAGCUUAACCUUCGGGAGGGCGCUUACCACUUUGUGAUUCAUGACUGGG